AACCUGCGGAAGGAUCAUUACCGAGCGAGGAUUCUCUGAAUCCAACCUCCCACCCGUGUUUAUUGUACCUUGUUGCUUCGGCGGGCCCGCCUCACGGCCGCCGGGGGGC
This 109-nucleotide ribosomal RNA is filed under the name Penicillium novae-zeelandiae. RNAcentral's name for it is "partial 5.8S ribosomal RNA". Lineage: Eukaryota; Fungi; Ascomycota; Eurotiomycetes; Eurotiales; Aspergillaceae. The record is from RNAcentral.